Molecule: long non-coding RNA, 2196 nt
Filed under: Olea europaea (common olive)
Lineage: Eukaryota; Viridiplantae; Streptophyta; Magnoliopsida; Lamiales; Oleaceae
Description: long non-coding RNA (OEUR_LNC004610)
Source: RNAcentral
UCUGACGAGCCCUCGCGGCAUCCCUUCUCUUUCUCUAUAUAAAUCGCGCCGUGUCUCUAUAGACCACGACUUCUCUCUCUAAAGUCUCUCUCGGUUUCUCUUUCUGAAUCGAUAGAUUUUCAAGGUCUCCGCUUUCUCUUUUUAUGUAUGUGUGUGUGGACAACUGCGUGUAUAUGUAAAAAUGCGUUGUGUAUGAUUUUCUUUUGAAACUGUUUAAAUGGUGUGUUUUACUAGUUCGAUCUGUAAUUUCGAACUGAAAAUUGAGGCCCUAGAGACGAAAUUAAGCUGUGAAAAUUAGGGUUUUAUCUGAAUUUGUCUCUAUCCCCGCUUUCGGGGCUGGGUUAGAUAAUUUUAAGGCUUUGCAAAGACUUAUAAUUGAAGAAUUCUAGGAUUUUUUUUUUCAGUGCCCUGAUCGAAUGCUUCAUUAGGGAUACUGCGCAAUUAAGAAGAAUUAAGAAGUUCAGAUAUCGUUAAGAACAGUUUGAAAUUACCAUGAAGGUGAGAUUUUGAGCAGUGUUGGAUUGAUUCAUGUUUGAAAUUGGGGUAUUUGGUGGUGAGAGAUUUCGGGGAAAAUGCUAAAAACCAAUCUCUAUUAUGCAUGGGACGGUUCAGCGGGAAGGUGAGAGCAGUAGGUGUCUACGAAGGAGUUAUAGUCAUCACAUGCGGUCGGUCCAACCCUUGGCUACGAGGAGCAACAGAACUAUAGCCGCUGGGAGUGAUCAUUCUUCAGUCACUUCUUCUACCAUCACCACCACCUUAACUACUAGUGAUUCAUUUUUCAAGGUACUUUCUUAUUGGAUUUUACAAGUGUUCCAUGUUUUUCUUGUUUGGGUUUUUGUUUUUUUCAAGGAUGCAACUAAAGCUUGAUUAUAGACAUCAAGUGUAUACAUUCUUCAAUUAUCUACAAUUACAUCAUUCUUAAAUUAGCAAGAGGUACUAGGAUGUGACUUUUCUAUUCAUCACCGCCAUUAGCUUCAAGUUCAAAAGCAUUACCAGAUGUACCACCACCUAAUCCCAAAAAUUUGAAGCCACCUUUUGUGCUAGAGGAAGAAGCACAACUUGGUUAGUUCGUUGCACAUGAUCACUUCCUAUUGAGUGCCAUAUGACAAGACAAACGCUCAUAAUAGGAAUCCCCAGUAAGGUGGAAUCUACCAUGUAUACAACCUGACUGAUGGAAACUUCAUAUCCAUCAGGCACUUGACUUCCACCACCCCAUAUACAUAAGACAGAUAUGGAGUGAAACUAAAAUAUCAACUACCACACCAAACAUAAGGCUCAACCAGGGGAAGAAGAAGAUGAGAAGUAAACUGUAUCCAUUAAAUGGCUUAAAGAAUGACACUGAUAAUCAUGUACUAAAAAAAGUUACAACCUCGAGAAACACUGAACAAGUAAUCCACUUUGGACUUAAAUGACAUGCUUUUAUAUGAACCUUAAAAAUAAAUCCUAGUCACAUAGAGACUGCAAUCUAGACUUGUUUGCAAGUGUUUAAUUUACAAACAUUUGUGGUGAAAUCACUUCUUAUCCACACAUUUCAUGAAAUUCACAAGUAAUGCCCACUUAUCCACCACUCAUUUCUAUCUAUUUAUAACUUAAACCGGUUUUAAACACUUCCCAAAUGCUUUAAAAGUGAUAAGCCUUCAGUGAAGUACACUUAGCCACAAUCCUACACCGGAGAUGCAUUAUUGCUGUUCUUUAAUAGUAACUUAACUCCCACACAAACACCAAUCAAUGAAUAAUUCCACUUUAUUAUGUGGGAUGCUUCAUUGAUUGUGUUAUAUAUAGUUCCUUGUUGGCACAGUCUGGUUUAUCCAUCCCGAGUUGCAUUUCUGUUGUUGAACACCGAUGCUGUGAUUGGUAUGGAAGGUGAUCUGAGAAUCAUUUGACUCCUCGCUGAUCAAAUGCGAAGAAAUUAUUUUCGAACCCAAUAUCCAUGUGUUGGCAAUGUACUAAUGCAUGCAGAAGCAAACUAAAAAAAAAUAGUUACUAUUUCUGCUGCAACCAGGAUAAAAGUAUUGAUUGUGCUAAAAUAUUGAAGGAAUGGAAAAAUCUGUCACUUCACCUAUGUUCUUUCUUUUGAAUUUAUAUAAUGAAGUUCUUACAGGUGUAGAUUUAUGUUAGUGCGUCUCUCAGAGUGUAGGGAAUGAAAAAUUCUAAUUCCAGAAGCAGGUUCAUGCGAAUGCCAUUAAGUUAUAAGCC